CGUACGGCCUUCUACAAUGAGCAAAAUCCAUAUCUGCACAGCUACACUUCCAGAGCCACAAAAUGAAAGAUAUAAAACAAUUCGAAAGGAAAUGAUAAAAGCGUUAUUUAUUGACAAAACAAUGAACCAAAAAACAACUAUGGUACACAGCAACAAACGACAAUAACUCCCUACAGGAACAUACGUAAUGUUGCGAGGUUAAACAUGUUAGUGGGCGCACGACUCUUCUACAAGAGUCAUAAUAUUGUUUUUAAAAUUUGGGGCAAAUAAAAAAAAUAUCAACUGGCAUCAUUUGCAUAAAUGACUUUAAAUUUUCUUUUCGAUCACUUCAAGUUCGCUGUCUUGUGUUCCUGGGGUAAUGUUGAAUUCUUUGUUUUCAACAUUUUUUAUCGUGACAAUUUCACAUUUAUCCAUUGUAUCAUCGGAUUUGAAAAGGCUUUCGACAUCAUUGGAUGUUGUAGAAAUUAUCUUUAUGUUCUGUGUUACAUUGUCAAAAGAUUUUUCGUAACAAGAAAAUAGUUUGAGAUUCUUCUUUUCAGGUACAUCUAAGACAUACAUCCCCUCAGACUUUUCGUCAACUUUAUCAUUAAUAUUUGUCGAAAGAUGAUAAUCGUUAUGAACUGAAACGCAUAUAUCAUAACCAUGAGGGAUUUCUUGACGUUCAUUGUAUGAUUCAUACGGCUUUAAAUAUUCGGAGUUCAUUUUACAUUCGUAAUCUAAAUCAGCAGAUGAAUUUGAAUUUUCGUCUGUUGAUGUCUGGUAUACUUGAAGAUAAUCUGUGUUUUCAUUAAAAGAUGAAUUCGAACUGUCUGUGUCACAAUCCUCAAUAUUUACUGUUUCAAAUAUGUUAAUUCUCAUGUCGUGUGUAUUGGCACAAUCUGACAGUAUGUUAUUGCUAUUCACCAUUGAUUCAUCUAUUUCGUCAUAUAUUUCCAAAUAUUGAUGAUCAUUAAUUUCGCUAUGUUGUGUUCUUUGUUCAUUUGAAACUAUGUUUCUUUCUGAUACUCUUCUUUUAUUUCGCAUUACAAUAUAGCCUACUCCCAU
This 1044-nucleotide long non-coding RNA is filed under the name Mytilus galloprovincialis (Mediterranean mussel). Lineage: Eukaryota; Metazoa; Mollusca; Bivalvia; Mytilida; Mytilidae. The record is from RNAcentral.